RNAcentral lists this ribosomal RNA (318 nucleotides) under Triticum aestivum (bread wheat). RNAcentral's name for it is "partial small subunit ribosomal RNA". The record is from RNAcentral. Lineage: Eukaryota; Viridiplantae; Streptophyta; Magnoliopsida; Poales; Poaceae.
AUGGAAAGCCGACGCACUUUAUUGCUAGGCGCUGGCAACAACCAGUGGCCACCAACCACAGUGAUAAAAUUCUCUUCCCUUGCCUUCAACACGAUAUAUUCAAGAACCAUAUCAUGCACUUGGAAGGUUUUUACCUUCCCAUUGCUGCUGUGUUCCACAGGCCGUAUUAUCUUCCUUCUUAUUAGCUGAUUAAAGUAUGUUUCUGCAACUUCCUCCUCAGUGAGCCCUUGCUUCUCGCUAGCGAAACCUUCUGCUAUCCAUCGGCGGGUCAAACGUUUCAUCCUGAUUUUCCCACCCUUCGGAAAUAUGCUCAAAUAA